Molecule: long non-coding RNA, 1845 nt
Organism: Oncorhynchus tshawytscha (Chinook salmon)
Lineage: Eukaryota; Metazoa; Chordata; Actinopteri; Salmoniformes; Salmonidae
Source: Ensembl
CUCACCUUCUGAAAGCUCCAUUAGGAUGGAUUAACAGACUCUUUUUCUCUGUCCUGGCCGAUAAAUAUUCGGGGCUGUUGACCUGUUGGCUUGUAGCUGCGCUAAAGCGGUGCUAACAGGGUGGGAAAGUAUAUGCUUCACUAGACUCGUUCGCGGUCAUGGCUCAAAACGAGAGAAAGGUUAGCACCUUGGGGGGUGUCCGCACACCCACAUGGAUUUUCCGUGUCUUUUUCUUAGCGACAGACCGGGGUGAUAGAUGGAAAGGACAUAUUCCUAUCGUUAAAAGACAUUGCAUUUCUCCGCGACAGACCGGGCGAGAGAAAACAAGAGAUCCCCUUUCGUUAAAGGAUAUAGGUCCUGGUUAGCCCUGACCUGCAUCCGUUUCCAAUUCCCCCUACGCCAUGACAUUCUUGCACGCUCCAUCAAAGCUCCGUAACUUUUCCCUCCAUGGGUAGAUAAUCUGUCCGGCAUAUAGGUCCUAAUUAAUAAGAUGGGUAGAAAAUGAAUCUGUUUAAGUCAUAACUAAAGGCCUUUCAUAAAGAGGCUGUCAUGAUUGACUGUGACACAUAUUUAACACGUAUUGCUUGUUAACGAAGACUACUGUUGUACAUUGAAUAUCCACUAGCAGAUUGUUGUUGCAUCUCCACUAUAUCUGUCAUGUUACUGUGGUCUUUUUAAAAGUCAAUAAACAUGUGUGUAGAUUAUACACUUUUGAUCCCCCCGGUGUACAUGCACCGAACAUCCAUAGGCUGGAGCCACCUGAAGCUCGGCGCAUGUACAUAUAAAGACAACUAAAUAGGUAACUCAACAGUGUGUUGGGCCGAGAAACAUUAUUUAGAUGGCUGUUUUAUUGUUGUUGAAAGCUUGAAAUGUACACAAUGCGAAGGGCCCUUGUUUCUAACACCCCAUUCUGAGACAUACACACACAAUCACCCUCCCAGACAUUCCUGCUUCAUAGAUAACAAUCAUAAGGGCAAUAAAAUAGGGGGUGUGGGGCCAUUCUCUUUCAAAUGUUCAAACACAGACCCCCCCAGUUCAACCAGGUGCCUACACAUCAAUCAUUAUGACUACUUCAAAGGAAUAAAUACAAUAUAUGCAUAAAUUAGCACACCAUCUAAGGCGUGAGAACAGGAACAGGAUGUCCUGACCGGAUGCCCAAAUAUGGGCACUCCCUAGAGCACGUGAUCACAUACAUAAUUUCACACUCCCUUUAAGGCGUGAGAACAGGAACCGGAUGUCCUGACCGGAUGCCCAAAUAUGGGCGUGCACACGUCAUCCUGACAUAGGGUCAUAAAUCAUAGGUUUGACUUGUGCCGUCUACUUUAUUCUUUCUAACCUGAUACCUCUGGGGACUCAUUCUUCUGGUGUGUCUGUUCGUCCUCCCAAUGGCAAAUGUACAAAAAAACAACGCUGCCUGUUAAAUCAAAAUAACAAAUACAAUUAGAAUUACAACCCUUGAUGACUCCAUCUUAACUUCACUGUAUCCCAUAAGGUAAUUCAAUAAAUAGUCAAAUAGACUAGAGACAGGUGUCCCUCAGUCAGGGCCAGCACUCGCUCUCUGUCCUUCUCGUGGUUCAAAUUACACAUAGGACUAUUGCUAAAUUAUAAACUUCUUCUAAUUAUUAGUGUUUACAUAGCCCAUUUAAAUCUCAACCAAUGUCUCUAGUCUUUUUAGUGAGGGUGAUCAGUCCUCUCCAGAAAGUCAAAAAUUAUUUAACGAUAUUUCAAAAAUGUCAAACAUUUUGUGUAUCAGGUUUACAUUGGGUUUUAAAUGACAUUUCUUAUCAAGAGAAUUUGCAUGUGUGCAACCAAAACUCGGACAAUAGAUACUUCAGAACAUUUCAU